Molecule: ribosomal RNA, 404 nt
Filed under: uncultured bacterium
Lineage: Bacteria
Description: bacterial SSU rRNA
Rfam family: Bacterial small subunit ribosomal RNA
Source: RNAcentral
UGGGGGAUAUUGCACAAUGGGGGGAACCCUGAUGCAGCGACGCCGCGUGAGUGAAGAAGUAUUUCGGUAUGUAAAGCUCUAUCAGCAGGGACGAAAAUGACGGUACCUGAGUAAGAAGCCCCGGCUAACUACGUGCCAGCAGCCGCGGUAAUACGUAGGGGGCAAGCGUUAUCCGGAUUUACUGGGUGUAAAGGGAGCGUAGACGGCGAAGCAAGUCUGGAGUGAAAGCCCGGGGCCCAACCCCGGGACUGCUCUGGAAACUGCGGCGCUGGAGUGCAGGAGGGGUAAGCGGAAUUCCUGGUGUAGCGGUGAAAUGCGUAGAUAUCAGGAGGAACACCGGUGGCGAAGGCGGCUUACUGGACUGCAACUGACGUUGAGGCUCGAAGGCGUGGGGAGCAAACAGG